UACAACCACAAUUCCAAUGAAGUUGGGACCUUAAACAUACAAAGCUCAAUUCCAAUGAAGUCGGGACAUUGUUUAAAAUGUCAAUAAAAACAGAAUAGUUAACACAGUUUGUCACUAUAUCUACAAAUGCAGGCUAAAACUCUACCAAGGAAAGCGAAAGCCAAACAACACCCAGAAACGUUGUUGGCUUCUUUGGGCCUGAGCUGAUUUGAGAUGGACAAAUUCAAGUGGAAAAGUGUGCUGUGGUCUGAUGAGUCCACAUUUCAAAUUGUUUUUGGAAAUCAUGGACACCGUGUCCUCCAGGCCAAAGAGGAAAAAUACCAUCCGGACCGAUGACCACACCCACUACGUUACAUCAUCUUUCCUUUUAACACCACCCAAUAAGCGUUUGGGGCCUGAAGACAUGAAUUGAAGGUGGUAUUCUUUCCCAUUCUUGCUUGAUGUACAACUUCAGUUGCUUAACAGUCCAGGAUCUCCAUUGUGGUAUUUUGUGCUUGAUAAUGCGCCACACAUUUUCAAUGGGAGACAGGUCUGGAUUGCUGGCAGGCCAGUCUAGUAUUCAUAUUAUUUUACUACGAAACCAUGCUGUUGUAACAUGAAGAAUGCGGAUUGGCAUUGUCUUGCUGAAAUAAGCAGGGAUCUCCAUGAAAAAGAUGUUGCUUGGAUGGCAGCAUAUGUUGCUACAAAAUCUGUAUGCACCUUUCGGCAUGAAUGGUGCCUUCACAGAUGUGCAGAGAAAUUCUGUGCCUUUCUGUUACACUCUGUGUGAAGUGCCCGUGUGGGUGCUUUUCGCAGGCCUGUGGCUGGUUCCCUGCCAGUGACCGUACUUUGAACCAGCAGCAGUCGCUCUGAGAGUGCAGUUAAAGAUAUACAGUAUGCUGAUUCAAUGGCAUGAAGACACUAUUGUUUCCAAAGAGAAGUUGAGUCGAUGGGGUGGUCCCUGCGUGUAACGGCGUUGGAAAUGUUUGGGAAUAAUUUCCACCCGCGAUUUCUUUCUUCCACCGUCACUUCAUUCAUCCAACAUUCCUUCAGCUCUUAUACUUUUCGUCACUUUCAAGGCUCACAUGCACGCUGUCUUGUUUUCUCAACUGUUUGUCAGUUACAAUUGAUAUUAGCAGGAAAUCAAAAACAGCCUCACCCAACAAUGGAGAAAAGCCACUGCUAAUAAAAGAGUGGAAGUUAUUGUCAUAGAUCCAAUAAUCUUGUUCUAAUUAUAGUCCAUUCUGUGGUUUUUAGUCCUUAAAUAGAAACCGAUUCCCGCCUGAAACUUUUGCUUUACGUUUCAUGUGCUUCAAAUCGUGCUGAGUAAUGGAGGAGGAUGGUUCCCCGCCGUGUUUUUGUUGAUGUAAAUGAUCUCUAAGAUAUAGAGAUUUCAUGAUGAAGCUCAGAACAAACUGAUGAAAUUGGACUUGUCAAAAGGUGGUACUUAGGGGUCAAAAACGGGUGUACGCUGCCUCUCGCCCAAAGUCACCUGGUAUAGCCUCCACCUUACCCGUGACACUGGUGAGGAUAGGCACUAUAAAAAAUGGAUUGAUGACUGUAAAGAAAUAUCUAUAUUUCGGAUUAACACCACUUUCAGUCCAUGUUUGAUGCCCCUGUACUUCAAAUUUGCUGCUGCUGUUGUUGUUGCAACCCUGCUCAGUGCUGCUCACAUGCAUGUAUGUAGCCUUCCAGAGACAAAAUAUUGCAGCAAUGUAAUAUGGAGUAUAUAAAAUUUGGCAAUAAAAAGAAUAUAAGUACCAUAUGCACUGUAAAUGCCAUCCUGAAUAAAAUAAUCACAUUUACAUUUGUCAUGCUCAUCAACGAAUGUAUCAUUGCAUCUGCUCACACUGCUUAUAUGAAGGUCAUUGCUGACAUGACAAACCUUUCUGUCAAACUGUCCAGUUGCCAGGUGCUGCAAUUAUCCAUCUGUCCAUCCAUUUUCUAUUGCUUUAAACUGGAGCCAAUCCCAGCUGACUUUGGAUGAGAGGCAGGGUACAGGGUGUACCUUGCCUCUCUGGACUUUUCCAGUCAAUUGCAGGGCACAUACAGCAUAAUCUAACCACCAUUCACACCUAAGAGUUUUCAAUGAGCCUAACAUGCAUGCUAUUAGAAUGGCAAAAGAAGCAGGACUAGAUGCUGAAAUCCCAUGCACGCACAUGGAGAACAUGCGAAAAGUACCUGCACACCAGAGAAUCAGUUCCAGAUAAUCUAUUUACCCUCAGUCCUCAAGGAUUCCAAACUAACAGCACGAUGUCUCCUUCUUUAACCGGUUUCAUUAACAGCAGAAUGUCUGCACAUGCAAGUGAACAACAACAUUAUUCAAUUUGGCAGAACAUUUCGAGGUUUUAAUUAUUUCUUUACUUCUGGCUCAACUAGCUAGGACAUUUCUGAAUGACUUCAGUUCCACCGCACAGAAAAUGAAACUCUUUGAAGCCAACUCUGGCUUCCAUGUGCGAAAACACAAAUUUAGGAGACAAACUUGAAAACAUAUAUGGCUGAAAGUAGUGCAUUAAUUGAAGUCAAAUGACAGCUGACAUCAACAUAUAGCACCCUUCCAACAUGAGUUUACUGAGGUUCCUUUUUACUCCUGCCCU
Phyllopteryx taeniolatus (common seadragon) is the source of this 2576-nucleotide long non-coding RNA. RefSeq lists it as uncharacterized. NCBI's taxonomy places the organism in Eukaryota, Metazoa, Chordata, Actinopteri, Syngnathiformes, Syngnathidae. The transcript is spliced from 3 exons. The record is from RefSeq and is a predicted model, not a curated record.